UGUUGGAAUGAGUGAGCGAGUGACAGUGUGUAUUAAUGUGUGUGUGUGUGUGUGUGUGUGAGUGUGUGUGUGUGUGUGUGUGUGUGUGUGUGUGUGUGUGUGUGUGAGAGUGUUUGCUGAGACGUGUAUUAUGGUUCCUCUUUUUCAUCUCUAUAAACAGGCAGAGUCUGGAUGGCUUCACACGUCUUCAUUAGUCAGGCGGCGAAGAAGUUCCUCUCUAGCCAGUUACAACACUGUACCCGCAUCAGAAUGCUGUUUUUCAGACCAGGAUGAUAACUUUUUUGGGAUUUGUGGUGCUGAUGGCUGCAUUUUCUCAUGGUGUGGACUCCAUCUGUGAUGUUACUCAGGAUGCUGUAUGUAACGGCACCCUAGGACUACCUGUGUACCUACAGCUGAUUAGGGACGCCACAGGACACGAACUGAAGUUAUUCAGUGGAGAUAAGAAUGUUUUUACAUCCAAAUCCUCCAAGACAGUGUUCUUUAACGAGUUCAACAACCCAUCAUACCUCCAGAGGUGGCAGUUUGUUCGUGAUAACGGGACCUUGAUUAUUAACCCUGCAGAGAAGAGAGACGCAGGAACAUACAGAGUGGAGAUCUAUGAGGAGUCAACAGGGAGGAGUGUGGGAGAUCACACAGUUCAGCUGAUCCUUCAAGGUACCUCCACUGUGUCUGUCAAACCAACUAACCAGACUAACACGACUCUUCCCUCUACCCACCCAGGUCCCUCAGUGACGGUAAUAGUUAUUUGUGUGUUAUUAUCCCUGACUGUGUGUCUGUGUGUCGCUGUGGGGACGUUCUACAUCAGAAUGAAAAAGAGGAAUACACACACUCCAGGUACAAGAGUGGAAACAGAGGAUGUGGUGUAUUCUGGCGUUGCCAUGGCAAAUAGGAGCAGCAGGCAUAACAGCAGGAAGCCACCAGCAGCUGAGGCGUAUGAGUUGGAGUAUGCUGAGGUGUCUGCCUUCAGUAAGCGACGGGGCCCAACUGAGAGUCACAGGCCAGAGGAGUCGGUUGAGUACGGGGAAGUGAGAGUCCACACACCACACUGACCCACAGCAGGCAGACAGUGUGUAUGCUCAAAUGCACCUCGGACAGUGACCUGUGUGUGUGUGUGUGUGUGUGUGUGUGUGUGUGUGUCUGUGUCUGUGUCUGUGUCUGUGCACCUGUGGAGGCAUGUAGCAGAGUGUGUGUCUGUUCCUCACAGCAGGUUAAUGUGGAGGUUAAUGACCACAGCAGACACAACUAACCAAGGGUACUAUAAUGGUGGAAUUAUGUGGUUAAUUAAGGUUACUAUCAUGAUGAAAUUAUGUAGUUAACCAGGGUUACCAUUGUUAGGAAAAAAUACACUGCGUGUUGUUUCGGAGAGGAACCACCAUAUGAAGCAAUUUGUUGUAACAAGGUUGAGUUUUACUGGUAGGUAACGACACAAUACAACUUGCCCAACAGACAGUCAAGUACAGUCAAGCAAGCCGGAGAAUGUGAAUUCUAGAGUCUAAACAGAGGAUGCUCCCACUUUUAAGGCCUAAUUCUGUGAUGUCGCUUCUGGCCCCCUGCACCUCCCACAUACACUGUCUUCCACUCGGCACUUUGUUAUAACACAUGAUUAACUUCUGCUUUUAAUCUGCUGACAUGUAUGUCUGGACAUUUUUGUCUGUGCCCCAGCCUUGACCACCUAAGAUUUAUAUGCUUCUCUCCUCUUCCGGGCCUUUGUUUUAACUUGCUUUCUCCUGUCUGACUCUUUACAUUUCCCCUGCAGAUGUUACUUGCUGUUUUUCUGACUUGUUGGCAGACUGCCCUUUUAUUGUGAUUAUACUUCAUUGAUACAUUUGGUUAAAUGUGAUAUGAUUAGAUAAAUUUGAUAAUUCAAAUGUAUCUUACAUUUCCCUCCUUUGACCUCAUUUAUGAGGUCAACAAUUUCUCCAAGCA
This is a long non-coding RNA of Clupea harengus (Atlantic herring), 1926 nucleotides long. NCBI's taxonomy places the organism in Eukaryota, Metazoa, Chordata, Actinopteri, Clupeiformes, Clupeidae. The record is from Ensembl.